CACGCUGUAAACGAUGGAUGCUCGGUGUCGGGGGUAUCGACCCCCUCGGCGCCCAAGGAAACCCGGUAAGCAUCCCGCCUGGGGAGUACGGCCGCAAGGUUGAAACUCAAAGGAAUUGACGGGGGCCCGCACAAGCGGUGGAGCAUGUUGUUCAAUACGUCACUAACCGUAGAACCUUACCAGGUCUUGACAUCUUCGGAACCCUCUGGAAACGGGGGGGUGCCCUUCGGGGAGCCGAAAGACAGGUGU
This 249-nucleotide ribosomal RNA is filed under the name uncultured bacterium. Its description in RNAcentral is "partial 16S ribosomal RNA". It matches the Rfam family "Bacterial small subunit ribosomal RNA", at positions 796 to 1041 of the family's 1533-position model. The record is from RNAcentral.